GGAAACCUCUUGGGCGGGCCAGUGUCAGUGGGUGACUGACUGACAGAUGACCACGUAUGCCUCGGACAGAAAUUUCUUUUAGAGAGAGGGAGAGGGGGAGAGAGAGAGAGAGAGAGAGAGUAUUGACUGGUGCCCACGGGCACACGAAAGGGAGACGGGAAAGAGUUUGACCGGCUGCCGAAGACGGGGAGAUGAUGAUGGACUGGUCGUCCGAGAUCUCGGCACCGAUCGAUCCACCGUGCUGGAAUUUUGAAUUCUCCUUCGAGAGCGCCGUGGAGAAGAGGAACCAAGACGUCAUUUGCUUAAGACUUUAUCCGUUUUAUCAUCAGUACUGUGGUUGCCGUUGCUCUACUGAACACAGUAUAAGAGCGCUCCUCGUGGAUAUGGGAAUGUUUGAGUUUCACGCCCAGAAUUUUGGUAAUGAAUAAUGUGUUUUCGAAAUUUUCACCCACUCACGGUAUGCAAUCUACUGAAACGUUCCUAGCCAUCCACCGAAAGAAGAAAAAAGUGUUACAGCCUGGAGCCAGGGCGGCUUUACCGGCCGAAACCUACUCCUUUUCCGAUGGAUUUUUAUUGCUUCGGCAAACGCUCAUGGAAUUCUACGAUUCUCAGAGGAUGGUAACGCAUUUUGCAGGGGUUGUUUCUGAUGGGGGGCUUUACAGAUGUACUAGUACUUAGCAUGAUGCAUAAUGCAUAUCAUUGGGGUAACGCUCGUGUCUGCUGGUGCUGUUCUAGCGUUAGUGUCUGCCGAAAAAGGUGGAGGUCCGGUGCGGACUUUGCCUUUUCGCAUUUUUCUUCGUCCAUGUAGAAACUUCCCGCAUGCCGAUCAAAUUGGUUUUUUUCCUGGUGCCAUGCAUAAGAACUCCCUAUGCAAUGAUAGAAGUGGCUUUCCAUUGCUCACGCAGUUUCUCCUUGUGCAUCGGUCCAGAUGGUCUUCUAUUAGCAUGCACAACAAAAAAUUUGUUUCUGGCGAUCCAACUAGCUUUCCGUUGGC
This 994-nucleotide long non-coding RNA is filed under the name Setaria viridis. RNAcentral describes it as "long non-coding RNA (SVIR_LNC009654)". The record is from RNAcentral. Lineage: Eukaryota; Viridiplantae; Streptophyta; Magnoliopsida; Poales; Poaceae.